This 421-nucleotide ribosomal RNA is filed under the name uncultured bacterium. RNAcentral describes it as "partial 16S ribosomal RNA". It matches the Rfam family "Bacterial small subunit ribosomal RNA", at positions 360 to 773 of the family's 1533-position model. The record is from RNAcentral.
AAUCUUGGACAAUGGGGGGAACCCUGAUCCAGCCAUUCCGCGUGUGCGAUGAAGGCCUUCGGGUUGUAAAGCACUUUUGGCAGGGAAGAAAUUGCGCGGGCUAAUACCCUGCGUGGAUGACGGUACCUGCAGAACAAUCACCGGCUAGCUACGUGCCAGCCGCCGCGGUAAUACGUAGGGUGCAAGCGUUAAUCGGAAUUACUGGGCGUAAAGGGUGCGCAGGCGGCUCGGAAAGAAAGAUGUGAAAUCCCAGGGCUCAACCUUGGAACUGUAUUUUUAACUACCGGGCUAGAGUGUGUCAGAGGGAGGUGGAAUUCCGCGUGUAGCAGUGAAAUGCGUAGAUAUGCGGAGGAACACCGAUGGCGAAGGCAGCCUCCUGGGAUAACACUGACGCUCAGGCACGAAAGCGUGGGGAGCAAAC